GGGAUCUUAGCUCAGCUGGGAGAGCAUCUGCCUUACAAGCAGAGGGUC
This 48-nucleotide transfer RNA is filed under the name Coprococcus sp. RNAcentral describes it as "tRNA-Val". It matches the Rfam family "tRNA", at positions 1 to 46 of the family's 71-position model. Rfam says of the family: Transfer RNA (tRNA) molecules are approximately 80 nucleotides in length. Their secondary structure includes four short double-helical elements and three loops (D, anti-codon, and T loops). Further hydrogen bonds mediate the characteristic L-shaped molecular structure. tRNAs have two regions of fundamental functional importance: the anti-codon, which is responsible for specific mRNA codon recognition, and the 3' end, to which the tRNAs corresponding amino acid is attached (by aminoacyl-tRNA synthetases). tRNAs cope with the degeneracy of the genetic code in two manners: having more than one tRNA (with a specific anti-codon) for a particular amino acid; and 'wobble' base-pairing, i.e. permitting non-standard base-pairing at the 3rd anti-codon position. RNAcentral also lists the same sequence under 1 other name. The record is from RNAcentral. Lineage: Bacteria; Bacillati; Bacillota; Clostridia; Lachnospirales; Lachnospiraceae.